UACGUAGGGUGCAAGCGUUGUCCGGAAUCACUGGGCGUAAAGCGCACGUAGGCGGAUCGUUAAGUCAGGGGUGAAAUCCUGGAGCUCAACUCCAGAACUGCCUUUGAUACUGGCGACCUUGAGUUCGGGAGAGGUGAGUGGAACUGCGAGUGUAGAGGUGAAAUUCGUAGAUAUUCGCAAGAACACCAGUGGCGAAGGCGGCUCACUGGCCCGAUACUGACGCUGAGGUGCGAAAGCGUGGGGAGCAAACAGG
This 253-nucleotide ribosomal RNA is filed under the name uncultured bacterium. RNAcentral describes it as "partial 16S ribosomal RNA". It matches the Rfam family "Bacterial small subunit ribosomal RNA", at positions 524 to 776 of the family's 1533-position model. The record is from RNAcentral.